UCCAUCCUGAAGCUGCUUUUGGUGGGGUCCUUUGUCACCGCGUGAAGGAGAGCAGCGAGGAGAGCGACUCGUCAGUGGGUGCCUCUCGCCGUCCGCGGUGCUCUUCUGCAGGUCAGAGGUCAUGUACACAGAGCAAGGGCCAGAGGAACAGUCCAUCUAUGUGGUGCAGCGCCUGCAAGGAGUUUACAAGAAGAAUCCUGCCUCACAGUGGGGAGAAAGCAGCGUCUAUAUACGUUAGAAAUCUGCAAUGUGAAAAUCUUCUGCGUACCAAAGACAAAGGAACAAAGCUCCUACGCUUAAAGCUUACCUACCAGUGGGGGAGACAGGCAGGAGACCCACAGAACACCAUCGUGUUGUAUUCAGCUCACCGUGCAGAAUCAAUGCUAACAGCAUCCUUAGCAACAUCUCCUUCAUUUCCCUGGGCAGAGGCAGCCUCACUGCCUGGAGGAAGUAUGUGCCACGGAACGGAGAAGGGUGAAGCGGUGACUUCCAUCUCUUCCCCCCACUGCAGGAACACCCUGAUGCUGGGUCUGUUUCCCCAGAGUUUGAUAAGUCCCUUCACAACUCUGACCACCCUAACGGGAGCCUCUGAACUUGUAGUUCUCAACCUUCCGCAUACAACCACCUUUUAAUACAGUUCUGAAUGCUGUGGUGACCCAAAGCAUAAAGUUAUUUUCGUUGCU
Long non-coding RNA from Mesocricetus auratus (golden hamster), 683 nucleotides. RefSeq lists it as uncharacterized. NCBI's taxonomy places the organism in Eukaryota, Metazoa, Chordata, Mammalia, Rodentia, Cricetidae. The transcript is spliced from 4 exons. The record is from RefSeq and is a predicted model, not a curated record.